Molecule: ribosomal RNA, 253 nt
Filed under: uncultured bacterium
Lineage: Bacteria
Description: partial 16S ribosomal RNA
Rfam family: Bacterial small subunit ribosomal RNA
Source: RNAcentral
UACGGGGGGGGCAAGCGUUGUUCGGAAUUACUGGGCGUAAAGGGCUCGUAGGCGGCCAACUAAGUCAGACGUGAAAUCCCUCGGCUUAACCGGGGAACUGCAUCCGAUACUGGAUGGCUUGAGUUCGGGAGAGGGAUGCGGAAUUCCAGGUGUAGCGGUGAAAUGUGCAGAUAUCAGGAAGAACACCCGUGGCUAAGGCGGCUCUCUAGUACGGUACUGACGCUGAGACGCGAAAGCGUGGGGAGCGAACAGG